Molecule: ribosomal RNA, 335 nt
Filed under: uncultured bacterium
Lineage: Bacteria
Description: bacterial SSU rRNA
Rfam family: Bacterial small subunit ribosomal RNA
Source: RNAcentral
AAAGGAAUUGACGGGGGCCCGCACAAGCAGUGGAGUAUGUGGUUUAAUUCGAAGCAACGCGAAGAACCUUACCAGGUCUUGACAUCCCGAUGACCGGUUNCAGAGAUGAGCCUUUUCUUCGGGAACAUCGGUGACAGGUGGUGCAUGGUUGUCGUCAGCUCGUGUCGUGAGAUGUUGGGUUAAGUCCCGCAACGAGCGCAACCCUUUACGGUUAGUUGAUUACGCCAAGAUCCACUCUAGCCGGACUGCCGUUGACAAAACGGAGGAAGGUGGGGACGACGUCAAAUCAUCAUGCCCCUUAUGACCUGGGCUACACACGUACUACAAUGGCAGUC